GUAGUCUCAAGAUGGCACCCGGAGAGUUUCCAGUACUCUACCAGUCUCGGCUAUGGGAGGGAAGUCAAGCAGAGGCCUACCCAUUCCAUUCCUAGCUUGGCCAGUGGCUAGUGAGUGGAAGGCCAUCUGCUACAAGU
RNAcentral lists this small nucleolar RNA (137 nucleotides) under Ornithorhynchus anatinus (platypus). The record is from RNAcentral. Lineage: Eukaryota; Metazoa; Chordata; Mammalia; Monotremata; Ornithorhynchidae.